Molecule: long non-coding RNA, 1016 nt
Organism: Cyprinus carpio carpio
Lineage: Eukaryota; Metazoa; Chordata; Actinopteri; Cypriniformes; Cyprinidae
Source: Ensembl
CAAGGACGAGCUCUGUCUCCACUUCUGCAAAUAGCGACAAGUCUGAAAGUAUACCUUCUGUGAGAAGGAGACUAGUGUGGGGGAUUAGACAGCAUCAGAACUUUCCGGAACGAUAUCUAAAAUUUGGAGUUUUGAGCUCAGACUUUGAGGGAAGCACAAAUCCACGGCUGCUCGCUAGAGGAUAAGCCCCCCUGCGCUCAAACUUAAUGAGCACGAGUAAGCCCAUUCCUGCAGCUCCACGCAAGAGAAACGAUCAUGAAGUGUGCUGAAGAAUGACAGAGACAAAGCGAGAGAGACUGGAAGAAAGGACAAGCCAGAGAGUGCAAAAGCGAGAGAGGUUGUCUGCCAAAGGGAGACUCUUUAAUUCGGUCUCUGUUGAGGAGUGGGUCGAGUGGAACGCUGGCCUGUCUGUCACUGCGAGGCUCCAGUGACCGUCUGACAGAUCACAGCACAGCGCCGCAUCAGGGGGGCCAGUAAAUUGGCCCGGGGGGCCUCCCUAGUCUCCUUUCUCCAGCUGAAUCUGCAGAGGCGAGGCUGAUGGGUAGUGUGGUACACAGGAGGCUAUUUAUGAGACAUAUUUGUCCAUGGCAGCAUUUUCAGCAAAAGCGGUUUACAUGUGUUCGGGGUUGUCGGGGGGAGCGAGGCACCCUGGAAGGAAUACAGAGUCAGCAGGGGUAGCACCUUUGUGAAGGAGAGGAGUGUCAGAGGGAUUGGCCGAUGCCGGUGAAGGGAACGGGUGCCGGGGUGACAAGCUGUCAGUGUGUCUCACAGUGAGGAGGACUUUGUUCAUCCCCUGGAGCCAUGUGACUUCUUUUGGACUGAUGCACUGCAACACGCGCUGAGUGGCAUUAAACAAAGAUCAAAGACAAUUUUUAAUAUAACUCCUAACUGGAUUUGUCUGAAAGAAGAAAGUCAUAUACACCUAGGAUGACUUGAGGCAAACUGCCCAGGAACUACAGAUAAAAACGUCUCUAGGUUACGUAUGUAACCCUAGUUCCUCGAGGGAACGAGAUGCU